AUACUUACCUGGCAGGGGAGAUACCAUGAUCACGAAGGUGGUUUUCCCAGGGCGAGGGUCACCCAUUGCACUCCGGAUGUGCUGACCCCUGCGAUUUCCCCAAAUGUGAGAAACUCGACUGCAUAAUUUGUGGUAGUGGGGGACUGCGUUCGCGCUCUCCCCUG
This 164-nucleotide small nuclear RNA is filed under the name Camelus dromedarius (Arabian camel). Its description in RNAcentral is "U1 spliceosomal RNA (ENSCDRG00005022222.1)". It matches the Rfam family "U1 spliceosomal RNA". From Rfam's summary of the family: U1 is a small nuclear RNA (snRNA) component of the spliceosome (involved in pre-mRNA splicing). Its 5' end forms complementary base pairs with the 5' splice junction, thus defining the 5' donor site of an intron. Lineage: Eukaryota; Metazoa; Chordata; Mammalia; Artiodactyla; Camelidae. The record is from RNAcentral.